UACGUAGGGGGCUAGCGUUGUCCGGAUUUAUUGGGCGUAAAGGGCGCGUAGGCGGUCGUGACAAGUCACUUGUGAAAUCUCCGGGCUUAACUCGGAACGGUCAAGUGAUACUGUCGGACUAGAGUACAGAAGGGGCAACUGGAAUUCUCGGUGUAGCGGUGAAAUGCGUAGAUAUCGAGAGGAACACCUGCGGCGAAGGCGGGUUGCUGGGCUGAUACUGACGCUGAGGCGCGAAAGCCAGGGGAGCGAACGGG
RNAcentral lists this ribosomal RNA (254 nucleotides) under uncultured bacterium. Its description in RNAcentral is "partial 16S ribosomal RNA". It matches the Rfam family "Bacterial small subunit ribosomal RNA", at positions 524 to 776 of the family's 1533-position model. The record is from RNAcentral.